GACGAACGCUGGCGGCGUGCCUAAUACAUGCCAGUAGAACGCUGAAGGAGGAGCUUGCUUCUCCGGAUGAGUUGCGAACGGGUGAGUAACGCGUAGGUAACCUGCCUGGUAGCGGGGGAUAACUAUUGGAAACGAUAGCUAAUACCGCAUAAGAGUAGAUGUCGCAUGACAUUUGCUUAAAAGGUGCAACUGCACCACUACCAGAUGGACCUGCGUUGUAUUAGCUAGUUGGUGAGGUAACGGCUCACCAAGGCAACGAUACAUAGCAGACCUGAGAGGGUGAUCAGCCACAAUGGGACUGAGACACGGCCCAGACUCCUACGGGAGGCAGCAGGAGGGAAUCGUCGGCAAGGGACGGAAGUCUGACCGAGCAACGCCGCGUGAGUGAAGAAGGUUGUCGGAUCGUAAAGCUCUGUUGUAAGAGAAGAACGAGUGUGAGAGUGGAAAGUUCACACUGUGACGGUAACUUACCAGAAAGGGACGGCUAACUACGUG
This 495-nucleotide ribosomal RNA is filed under the name uncultured bacterium. RNAcentral's name for it is "partial 16S ribosomal RNA". It matches the Rfam family "Bacterial small subunit ribosomal RNA", at positions 28 to 507 of the family's 1533-position model. The record is from RNAcentral.